GGAUCCAGACUUUGAUUCUGGCUCAGGAUGAACGCUAGCUACAGGCUUAACACAUGCAAGUCGAGGGGAAACGAUAGAGAAAGCUUGCUUUUUCUAGGUGUCGACCGGCGCACGGGUGAGUAACGCGUAUCCAACCUGCCCAUCACUUGGGGAUAACCUUGCGAAAGUAAGACUAAUACCCAAUGAUAUCUCUAGAAGACAUCUGAAAGAGAUUAAAGAUUCAUCGGUGAUGGAUGGGGAUGCGUCUGAUUAGCUUGUUGGCGGGGUAACGGCCCACCAAGGCGACGAUCAGUAGGGGUUCUGAGAGGAAGGUCCCCCACAUUGGAACUGAGACACGGUCCAAACUCCUACGGGAGGCAGCAGUGAGGAAUAUUGGUCAAUGGACGAGAGUCUGAACCAGCCAAGUAGCGUGCAGGAUGACGGCCCUAUGGGUUGUAAACUGCUUUUAUAAGGGAAUAAAGUGAGCCUCGUGAGGCUUUUUGCA
Molecule: ribosomal RNA, 484 nt
Filed under: uncultured Bacteroidota bacterium
Lineage: Bacteria; Pseudomonadati; Bacteroidota
Description: bacterial SSU rRNA
Rfam family: Bacterial small subunit ribosomal RNA
Source: RNAcentral